CCUACGGGUGGCAGCAGUGGGGAAUAUUGGGCAAUGGGCGCAAGCCUGACCCAGCAACGCCGCGUGAAGGAAGAAGGCUUUCGGGUUGUAAACUUCUUUUUUCAGGGACGAAGCAAGUGACGGUACCUGAUGAAUAAGCCACGGCUAACUACGUGCCAGCAGCCGCGGUAAUACGUAGGUGGCAAGCGUUAUCCGGAUUUACUGGGUGUAAAGGGCGUGUAGGCGGGACUGCAAGUCAGAUGUGAAAACCAUGGGCUCAACCUAUGGCCUGCAUUUGAAACUGUAAUUCUUGAGUACUGGAGAGGCAGGCGGAAUUCGUGGUGUAGCGGUGAAAUGCGUAGAUAUUAGGAAGAACACCAGUGGCGAAGGCGGACUGCUGGACAGCAACUGACGCUGAGGCGCGAAAGCGUGGGGAGCAAACAGGAUUAGAUACCCCAGUAGUC
This 443-nucleotide ribosomal RNA is filed under the name uncultured bacterium. Its description in RNAcentral is "partial 16S ribosomal RNA". It matches the Rfam family "Bacterial small subunit ribosomal RNA", at positions 338 to 795 of the family's 1533-position model. The record is from RNAcentral.